ACAAACAUCAUCGGAAAGUGGAAGCUCUACUGUUUCUUUCCCUCAGAACUUCAGCUCUGAUGCAGGAGAGUGAAAAUGGAUUCUGUUAUUAUGAAUAGAAUCUCAUCGGGUUUCCUCAAGACUGUGAUGCCAGGAGUUCAAUCAUCAUCAUCAUCAUCAUCAUCAUCAUCAUCAUCAUCAUCAUCAUCACAGCUUGCCUCAUCUGCAUAUAUAAGGAAUGAUGGAACUGUCAGUGCAUGCUCAAAGGGAAACCUGUAGACGGCAGUAAUGCAACACUGUGGAUGCCAGCUGCCGUAAAACCCAAAAGAAGAAGAAGAAGGUAAACCUGCGCAUGCGCAUACGGACUUCCUCUGUCUGCUUGACUGCGCCAAGUGAGUGAUUUCAUGCACAUUAUUUGCUUUAAUCCCCUCAAAUUAAAUAACUUCCCAGCCACAGAAUGGCCUGAUAUUUUGUGAGAUAUUACAGAA
Molecule: long non-coding RNA, 467 nt
Organism: Neoarius graeffei (lesser salmon catfish)
Lineage: Eukaryota; Metazoa; Chordata; Actinopteri; Siluriformes; Ariidae
Exons: 3
Source: RefSeq, a predicted model, not a curated record